UACGGAGGGUGCGAGCGUUGUUCGGAAUUACUGGGCGUAAAGGGCGCGUAGGUGGUUCGGCAAGUCAGAUGUGAAAUCCUCUGGCUCAACUGGAGAACGGCAUCUGAAACUGCAGGACUCGAGUACAGAAGAGGGAAACGGAAUUCCUGGUGUAGAGGUGAAAUUCGUAGAUAUCAGGAGGAACACCGGUGGCGAAGGCGGUUUCCUGGUCUGAUACUGACACUGAGGCGCGAAAGCGUGGGGAG
Molecule: ribosomal RNA, 245 nt
Filed under: uncultured bacterium
Lineage: Bacteria
Description: partial 16S ribosomal RNA
Rfam family: Bacterial small subunit ribosomal RNA
Source: RNAcentral